RNAcentral lists this ribosomal RNA (465 nucleotides) under Vreelandella stevensii. Its description in RNAcentral is "partial 16S ribosomal RNA". It matches the Rfam family "Bacterial small subunit ribosomal RNA", at positions 338 to 795 of the family's 1533-position model. Lineage: Bacteria; Pseudomonadati; Pseudomonadota; Gammaproteobacteria; Oceanospirillales; Halomonadaceae. The record is from RNAcentral.
CCUACGGGGGGCUGCAGUGGGGAAUAUUGGACAAUGGGCGAAAGCCUGAUCCAGCCAUGCCGCGUGUGUGAAGAAGGCCUUCGGGUUGUAAAGCACUUUCAGUGGGGAAGAAAGCCUUGGGGCUAAUACCCUCGAGGAAGGACAUCACCCACAGAAGAAGCACCGGCUAACUCCGUGCCAGCAGCCGCGGUAAUACGGAGGGUGCGAGCGUUAAUGGGAAUUACUGGGCGUAAAGCGCGCGUAGGCGGUCUGAUAAGCCGGUUGUGAAAGCCCCGGGCUCAACCUGGGAACGGCAUCCGGAACUGUCAGGCUAGAGUGCAGGAGAGGAAGGUAGAAUUCCCGGUGUAGCGGUGAAAUGCGUAGAGAUCGGGAGGAAUACCAGUGGCGAAGGCGGCCUUCUGGACUGACACUGACGCUGAGGUGCGAAAGCGUGGGUAGCAAACAGGAUUAGAUACCCUAGUAGUC